RNA transcript from Dermacentor silvarum, 278 nucleotides. RefSeq lists it as uncharacterized. The transcript is spliced from 3 exons. Lineage: Eukaryota; Metazoa; Arthropoda; Arachnida; Ixodida; Ixodidae. The record is from RefSeq and is a predicted model, not a curated record.
GCCAUGGCUAUUUAAGGCAUUCUCACAGGUGAUCGAUCUGUUCUACGUCAACCCUAUGGUUGCCAUGACAAAGAAGGCAGUCGAGGUCAUCGAAUUCCGGCGCCAGAACCCUCAGCUGGUUCUGCCUGACAUGGCGCAAAUUCUUCUGGACGAAGCACUUGCGAGAAAAACCGCAGAAUUGAAGGAGAACAACGAGGCCAUAAGAACUCCCGUUCCGCUUCCUAUGGAAACACUGACCGAUAUAGCGACAAACUGCAUGAAUAUAUUUCUUGGAGGGU